This 836-nucleotide long non-coding RNA is filed under the name Mus musculus (house mouse). Its description in RNAcentral is "partial LNC_000092". The record is from RNAcentral. Lineage: Eukaryota; Metazoa; Chordata; Mammalia; Rodentia; Muridae.
CAAGGAGGUGGGAGGGAAGGAACUGCAAAAAGAUUCCAUUUGUGUGCUAGACAUUUCUAGCUUACCCAUCCCCCUGUGUGUUGUGUGCAUCUCAUGUAACUUUGCUAUGCUGUAUAUAUUGUACAUACUGGACAAACGAGUCCUAUGAUAUCUAGUCUCUAGGUAUUAAAGAGGUUGCCAAUGUAUGACAAAAGUAGUUAGUAAACUCACACAUUCUGUAUACUCUGUUAGUUCAUAGCAAGGUUGUCUUCUGAAGAGUUGUGAAAGUGUAUCAUCCAAGUGACGGGUGCCUAUGUCACGGGACACAAGAUGGGCUGAAGGGGAAGAAAGGUCGGAGACCAGAAUGUCCUCACCAGAAGACACUUGGAGAUCUAACUAGUUACAUGUGCGUGGUUUCAGUACUACUAUGUAUAUAGGGGACAAAUUCAUGUCCUCAUCUGAAACAUCUAGUCCUUCUAGGUGUUUAGAAGUGCACAAAGUAUGUUAAAAGUAGACAUAGUAAAUAAUACGUGUUGUAGAUUCUGUUUAAACUCAUGGUGAAGUGUUGUCUUUUGGAACUAGAAAGAGAAACUGCUUCUGAGCAAUGCAGCCUUGCUUGUGCAGGUCUAGGAGGGAGGAAGAAAGAAAAUGAAUGAAGAGCCUAAUGCUGAUGCAAGUUUGGUAAUACAAGGUUAUCCAUUGUUGCUUAUAUCUGUGCAUCUUACUUUGCAAUGUAUAGAAAACAUAGGUCCAAAUUUGCAGCACCCAGUCUUCCUAGACUGUAAAGGUGCCAGUGUGUGACAAAGUAGAGUUAGUGAAAAGACAUAUUUAUAGAUUAUGUUAAAAUUUGUAGGAAA